GAUGAAGAACGUAGCGAAAUGCGAUAAGUAAUGUGAAUUGCAGAAUUCAGUGAAUCAUCGAAUCUUUGAACGCACAUUGCGCCCGCCAGUAUUCUGGCGGGCAUGCCUGUCUGAGCGUCAUUUCAACCCUCAUGCCCCUAGGGCGUGGUGUUGGGGAUCGGCCAAAGCCCGCGAGGGACGGCCGGCCCCUAAAUCUAGUGGCGGACCCGUCGUGGCCUCCUCUGCGAAGUAGUGAUAUUCCGCAUCGGAGAGCGAUCAGCCCCUGCCGUUAAACCCCCAACUUUCCAAGGUUGACCUCAGAUCAGGUAGGAAUACCCGCUGAACUUAAGCAUAUCAAUAAGCGGAGGA
This 348-nucleotide unclassified non-coding RNA is filed under the name soil metagenome. RNAcentral's name for it is "partial contains 5.8S ribosomal RNA, internal transcribed spacer 2, and large subunit ribosomal RNA". The stretch from base 1 to 120 matches the Rfam family "5.8S ribosomal RNA", at positions 35 to 154 of the family's 154-position model. The record is from RNAcentral.